UUAUCAUUUAGAGGAAGGAGAAGUCGUAACAAGGUUUCCGUAGGUGAACCUGCGGAAGGAUCAUUGUCGAAACCUGCCCUGCAGAACGACCCGCGAACGYGUUAUUCCACUCUGAGGGAGAGCGGGGGCAUCGCGCCCUCGGUCUCCCGACGCUGGUGGGAAGGGAUGCGGGGGGCCUGGCCCUUCCUUCUCUCUCAUCAGCCCAAUAACCAAACCCCGGCGCAGGACGCGCCAAGGAACAUGAAAUGAAAAGAGCGCCCUGCUCCAGGCCCCGGAAACGGUGCGCCUCGGCAGGCGUCGUCCUCUUUCGAGAACCAAAACGACUCUCGGCAACGGAUAUCUCGGCUCUCGCAUCGAUGAAGAACGCAGCAAAAUGCGAUACUUGGUGUGAAUUGCAGAAUCCCGUGAAUCAUCGAGUUUUUGAACGCAAGUUGCGCCCGAAGCUUCGGCCGAGGGCACGCCUGCCUGGGUGUCACGCAACCGUUGCCCCCCCAAGCCCCUUCGGGGCAUCGGGGCGGAUGUUGGCCUCCCGUGCGCUGCAAGCUCGCGGUUGGCCUAAAAAGCAUUGUCCCCGGCGUCGAACGCCACGGCAUUCGGUGGUUGUAAGACUCUCUGACACUGCCGCGCGCGCUCCGCACGUCGAGGGGGACCCCUCGAGACCCCUAAGCAUUCUGUAAAGGAAGUGCUCCGACUGCGACCCCAGGUCAGGCGGGAGUACCCGCUGAGUUUAAGCAUAUC
RNAcentral lists this unclassified non-coding RNA (738 nucleotides) under Cleidiocarpon cavaleriei. Its description in RNAcentral is "partial contains small subunit ribosomal RNA, internal transcribed spacer 1, 5.8S ribosomal RNA, internal transcribed spacer 2, and large subunit ribosomal RNA". Lineage: Eukaryota; Viridiplantae; Streptophyta; Magnoliopsida; Malpighiales; Euphorbiaceae. The record is from RNAcentral.